Long non-coding RNA from Anguilla rostrata (American eel), 839 nucleotides. RefSeq lists it as uncharacterized. The transcript has 3 exons. The record is from RefSeq and is a predicted model, not a curated record. NCBI's taxonomy places the organism in Eukaryota, Metazoa, Chordata, Actinopteri, Anguilliformes, Anguillidae.
UAUUCCAAAGCAAUACUACCCGAUGUUUUCUAAAUUGUUUUAAGUCACUUGGCCCAUUGCUUGCUGUUGAAUUUCUCCAGGCAAGCCAGCCUUGCUGUCCUUAGCAAUGAGGAACUAAACGGAGAGAUUAGAAACCUUAAACAGCAAAAUAGAAGUAUCCUUACUGUGCUCCUUUUGGUUAGCAAGAAAGCUAUGCGGCAUCUAGAACAGAGGUGGGCAACAAGGGCUGUAUCCGUUUCUGGUUCUCAUUCCAACUUCCGGCCUUAAUUACUCAUUUAGCCCUAACUUUUACGUCAUCUGAGUCUUGAUAAGCGCAGGAACGACAGACGAAGACUGUUUUCAAAAGCUUUGCUCUUACAGGGAGGAACUGUUCUGGCUAAAAAGUGAAUGCCCUGCACUACCGCUGACCCACUUUGCACAUGUUUGCUGUCACCCGUUUCAAUCCCAUCCCCACUCACCUCAUUUCAGCAAAGGAAAAUUCAUAGCCAAACACAUGGGAACGCUUUGCACCCUGACCUGGGCCUAACGCAUAACCAAGUCAACAUGAGGACGCAUCCAAAACCACCUAACGGUGAUGCACGGGAAGCGCCAUUUAACAACGGUCCGUCAUCUCUUCCACCUUUUGCUGCACACACAUCCCCAACAUACAGCAGGGAGGACCAUGGAUCCAAACAUGGACACCACCCAUCUUCCCUCAAUCAAGGGUGAACAUGGAACUACCUCUUUGAUAUGAUACUUACAGAGGAUCCUGGAAAGGAAUAUGAGUGUCAGCUGCUAUCAGAGGCAGAAUUUGCCAUGGACAGAGGAAUCGAGUCUUACCAUUAAAAGCUUAUUAUAAA